CUUCUUCCAAGAAUCCUGAAAAUAAAACAAUAGAAACAAAAAGAAUAAUAUAAGUCGAUAUAUUUAACAUAUUACAUCAAAAUAUUCCCACAAUCAUGAUAACUCAUGAUUGAGACAAUUAAGCUCUUAAUUAAGGCAUAAUAAUAAAAUAUUAAUAUCCUUAAUUAAGACACAAUUAACGCCCUCAAAUAAGGCCCAAUUAACGCCCUCAAUAAAGAGGCAUAAUUUACGCCCUCAAUAAUUGAGGCACAAUUUAUGCCCUCAAUAAAGAGGCAUAAUUAACGAGGCACAAUUACCGCCCUCAAUUAAGGCACAAUUAGCGCGCUUUCCUUUCUGAAACCGGAUCCCGUCCUGAAACCGCCGUCACCGCCACCAUCGGCCACCACCGCUAUGCUAUCGAUCAAGUUGUCUCGUCGUAUGCGAAGCGAACAACGAAACGUAUCACAUAUAACAUGAAAAUCGCCCAAAACACCAAAAACCAAAUUUCAUCAACUAAAAUAUAUUUUCACCAAAUUUCUAAACAACAUUAAGAUGUUUGUAAAAUGUAUGUAUGGGGUCACACAAAAUACACACACGGAGAGAGAGAAGGGUGGGAGAGACGGAAACACAGACAGAGAGAGGGAGAGAGUGAGGGAGGGAGAGAGAGAAGGAGAGAGAGAGAGGGAGGGAGAAAGUCUGCUGAGAGAGAGAGAGAGAGAGAGAGAGAGAGAGAGACCUUGUGAAUUGGGGGAGCAGUGGCAGUGGAAGAAGAGGAGGAGAGAUUGCGUUGAGCAAUCUGUUGGUAAGCAUCUCUAGAAGCUGAUCGGAUUUGAGUAAGCAUACAUGACUUCAUAUACGUACAAAGCACGUAACAUCUUCGUACUCAAUAAUCAACAAACUCGGUUAUUUGUUCUCCCAGAAGAUGAAUCAAAUUAUCCCUCACAUUCUUCUUGGGUCAUUUUAAUCGUAGCAUCUUGCUAGAAAUAAAAC
This 969-nucleotide long non-coding RNA is filed under the name Daucus carota (carrot). Its description in RNAcentral is "long non-coding RNA (DCAR_LNC000517)". The record is from RNAcentral. Lineage: Eukaryota; Viridiplantae; Streptophyta; Magnoliopsida; Apiales; Apiaceae.